UGUGUGGAUGGAGAAGUUUCAACAGCUGGGAAGGGAUGUCAUCAUAGUCCUGUAUUCACAGACGAACACCUGCCUUACUUCUGGCACCAGCACGAGAGGCUAAUGGAAGACUGGUCUUUGGAUGAAAGAAAACACAAGGCAUCUGAUUUUCUGCUUGGUUGGAUACAAGAAGAAAACAGCACUGAGCCUGAAAGCAAAUAUGCCUGGUACAAUGGAUGAGUGCGGGUGAGACGGGAUAGCUGACCUCUGCACAGCCAUUGGCCUAUAAGAACUUUCAUCUCGGAGACAUGAGAAGAGGGAGAAGACGGCGGCCCAGAUCAAGAUGGUUAAUCUUCCCUCUGACCGUGAGACUGCUGACAAAGGAACAAGAGUCUACAGCUAGCUGCUCUGUGAGACUGUACUCACCAGCACAAUGCUUUGAGAAUGGAGCCUAUCCCCUGGCAGCGUUGCAUGAACACUUCAAGACACAUCAUCCAAACCAUAGUGUUAAACGUGGGUGUGAGAAGUGCCAAGAAAAGUUCCUGAAUCAAGGAGCUCAGAGCAAGAAUGUUGCACACUGACACUGGAUGCACAUAUGUUGAUUUGUUUUAUGUGUAAGGUGCACUACAAAAGGUCUGCAGUGCUGUGUCAGCAUUUGAGGUUUCACCAUGGUUCAUAUCUGGAAAUGUGGACAACUGGAAUGUUCUUUAUCAUUUUGCACUUAUUUGGGUUUCAAGAAAGAAACACCUUCUUUCCACAGGGACAGUGUUUUAUGUUAUUGACAGUGUGGACACUGAAAGAAGGUGAGGGGGUCUCAUAGACUCUCCAAUACCCACCCAGGAUCAUCAUGUUUUAACAUAUGCCAGCAUAUGUGCUUAUUCACACGUAUCUUUACUGUCUUGUCUUUUACAUGACAAUGAAGGUUUGUGGAGGUUUUUCAUGAACCAAUUAUUGAUGAUGAUGAUGAUAAACAAAAGGAGCGUCCCAUGUGAUUCUGCCUUUGGACUGUGUGUGUCAGGCUUGCUCGGGGGCACCUGCCUCUCUCACCUCCCUCUCUUUGUUUCUCGGUUCCUGAUCACACCACCUUGCACACCUGCCACUUGUUUCCUUAAUCAACGCCAGCUGCUCUCAGGCCAACAACCAGUGCAUAUACAUACAUAUAUAUGUUUAUUCCCGUUUUGUUCCUCCUCUCUACCUUCUCCAGGGACAGUUACCUCUGGACCAUUACUCCUCACCACUCUCCCAGUCUCCACCAGCCAGGUCGGUACACAGUCGACUCCAUCUGCUCACCACACGUCUUUACUCUGUCUCCUCAGCCGUUUCCACCUCCACUGACUAGCCCAGGAGUGACCUUAGCAUCCACAGCUAGGCCAACUUCACCUAUGCCUUCCCUGGACAGUUAUUGCUAGCUGAUCAGCACCCGGUUCCUCUUUCCCAUUAUUUCUGUUUAGCCUGUUUCUCACCUCACCUGUAGAUAGUCUGUAUAGCACCAAUAAAUUUUGCUUGCACUGAAGUCAGCCAUCUGGGUCCAUUCUCUUGUUUUUCGUUCAC
Monopterus albus (swamp eel) is the source of this 1530-nucleotide long non-coding RNA. RefSeq lists it as uncharacterized. Lineage: Eukaryota; Metazoa; Chordata; Actinopteri; Synbranchiformes; Synbranchidae. The transcript has 4 exons. The record is from RefSeq and is a predicted model, not a curated record.